This 1017-nucleotide ribosomal RNA is filed under the name Triticum aestivum (bread wheat). RNAcentral describes it as "partial small subunit ribosomal RNA". The record is from RNAcentral. Lineage: Eukaryota; Viridiplantae; Streptophyta; Magnoliopsida; Poales; Poaceae.
AUGCCGCCGCCAUCUCCUACAUCCACUGGCUGCCACCUUCGCCUGCUCCUCCCUCCCCCACAUCUCCCUCCCUCCCACGCAGCCGCCUCCCUCCCUCGCUCGCCCCUCAUCUGUAGACAGCGACGGCGGCUCCCGUGCCCACGUUCUUCCUCCCACGGUCCCACCAACCACCAACUCCUCCCCAUCGCCAUGGACGAGCUUGAGCUCCAGGUGCUCCUUCUCUACCUAGAAGCCCAAGGGUGUUCAAGGCGACAAGGGGAUCAACCUCAACCUGCCAACCCUAGCUGCCCCCAUGCCACCGCCGGCUCCUUCUCCCGGCCUGCCGGAUCCCGCCGUCCGCAUCCCCGGCGUUGUCGCCGUAGCCGUCAUCCUCGGGAGCACAAGUCGAGGUGCGCCGCCUUCGAUUCUGCAGUGUGCCUGAUGGCUGCUUCUGCAGUAGCAGCGGCGGCAAGCCUUGGAAUGGCUCGGGACACCAGAAGCGGGCAACGAAGGCCAUUGCCAGGUGUAAAGGAAGUGGAGUGUGAACCCAGUGUUUCUUUUGACUACUCCAAGUCUGAAAUGAAUUCUAUGGAGAGGAAAAUGUUGAACCGGGUGCUUGAAGUAAAGGAGGAGCAUCCUAAGAAGCAGUGCAUUCGUGCUCUUAGUUUAGCAAUGCUUCAUUUUCUACUAUUGGUGUUUCGGUCCAGUUCAGGUCCCAUUGAAGAAAUAACCUCCCUUUUGGGUUUCCUGCAUAUGGUUAAUCUUGUUGUAAAUCUGCACAUGCCAUUUUACUUCAGGUUUGAGAAAAAGAUCAGAGUUUCAUCUGUUGUGAAAGUGGAAGCUCCAGAAAAUUGGGAAGCAGUUCUUGGAGGUAUUAAAAACAUUAGGUUAUCUGGCCAAGCCCCCGUAGAUACAAAGGGCCGUGAGAAGGCUGGUUCUCUUCUUCCACCCAAGCUAGGAAGAAAAUGCAGCCUGUACAUGGGUUCAUGGCUAAUGGAUUGCAGAUUGGCCAUGGAUUUGGGCCUACUAAUCCACUAA